UAUUAAAAUAAAUCUGUUUGUUUGAAGGAAAAACGAGUUACAGUUUGACCAAGACAAUACUUUGUCAGAAGCCAUUCUUAGUUUAUUCAGUUGCUUGGAGUUGAUGUUCAAACCCACUAUGCUAUGGCCAUGUAGGUUGUGUAUCCAUAUUCCCUGGAAGUUACUGAGGUCCUAGUCAACAUCCUUGGAGUGUGUGCAUCUCUGGAGUUGUGCAGUACACAACCUGCUCACCUAUACAUAUCUACUUAGUAAUUUCAGAUGAGGUUGGGACCAGUAGGUACUCUUAAGUGCUGGUCACAGACUUAUCACUCUUGGAUAUUCUUUGUGUUUCUUCCCUAAUUCUUUUCUAAUUCUCCCUUUAUUUUCUUAUAUCUUUCACAAGUUCCUGAUCUACAUGAAUCUACUACAGAGACUUCUCAACGCUGCCUGUAAUAGGGUAAGAACCAAUGACUAGGGUUUCUAUGUCCUAUGAAAUUGAUAAAUCCAUGGAUUAGCUUUUAUAUCUAGUACAAAAACAAUCCAGUCCUAUUGUACUAUCUGGGCCAGGCUGCAGUCCCUCAGAAGGUUCACAUUCUCUGCAAAAGGAUCUGAAAUGAGCUGUUCCACUCUCCAAGUCACAGGAGCCAUACUGGGUCAUUGAAUCCUGCAUUCAUUAAUUGGUACUUCCCAAGUCCAAAACUUCCCCGUAGUUUUUCCUGCUGGAUACUGGUCCCAUGGGACAAUCUGGGGGAGAUAAUAAAGCAUUCCUCUCUGGGUUUGCUUGGGAAAUACUGUGUUGUCCACUUGGAGAUUUGCAAUGCACAGUAGUAUAUUAAAGGGUCUGAGAAAUCAUCCAAGAAAUACCUUUCUAAUACUAUUUAUCCCCAAACAUUUUUUUGGUUACUCCUGUUAAUGUGAAAAAUGUACCUUCAGAAAUGCUGGUCUACAGAAAACCAGGUCAACACACAGCCAUUCUCUCAGGAGGUAAGUGCACCCUCUGCCCUCCCUCUGAUUGGCAGGUGUUAGGAACCACCUGGAGAGCACAGCAAACCCACUGGAGGUUCCACUGUCUCUUCAGCUGUACGAUGAGUUGGGUUUGCAUGAGGUCUGCACACAGCGGAGGACAGGGGGGUCCAAGGGUCUAGAGAGAAGGCAUGGAGCAGAGGGCAAAGGGACACAGCAGAGGGACAGAGGGCCCAAGGAAAGCAGACCUGCCCCCACUCUUGUUUUAUGCAGCCCACUUUACAUACGAGGGAACUGAGGCCCGUAGAGUUUCAAUAACUUGUUCCAGUCCCACUACCAGUUUGGAGCACAGCUUUAACCCAAACCCAUAUUACCAACCACAAACCCCACCCUUUCCCCGGCUCCUUCCACUUGAUCACACUGUCAUUAAUGUUACCAUCGCCACAGAGCCAUCUUUGCACUGGAGUUGAGCAGACUGCAACCCACCCUCAUGUUCAAGUCCCAUCUCUCCCACGUUAGCAUGCAAUGUUGCCCAGGCUCCCAGUCCCUAGAAGCCUUCGUGUCUGUAGUGGAGAAAUAGCCAUCCCCACAAGAUUGUUUUUUUUUUUUUGAUGGAAUUAAAGGACCCAGUGUUGAGAAAAUAAUAAAUGCUCAAUAAAUAUUGCCAAUUGUUUUUAUUACAACAAUUUAUGGGUUAAUUCUCCUAUUUUACAAGUUUUACAGGCAAGGCCUGCUUAUUAACCGUCAGGCACUACUAGAGCCAAAUGUAAAAUAUCCAUCCCCUCCCUCUCCACUCCCAUAGAGCUGAAGGAUGGCUCGGGGAACUUCACGUGUGGAACAUGAAUCGCACACUCACCAAGUAGACCCUGACACCCGCAGCGGCUGUGUGGUGAGCACACAGAGAAAGAAUCGGGCACAGAUGUGGAAAAUAGAAAAUCCCCAAGUUUAUUUCUUUCCUCACUCUGCUCUGAAUACAGAAGCAUGCAGACGGGUGGAUUUUGCUGGGUCAAAUGCUUUCUUGCUGAUUCACUACUGUGGAUACAAUUGCUAGAGACAAAGGAUGUUUCCUGAGCUCCACGGCCCUUCUCUAGCUACUCAUCGGCUUCUAUGUUGACUGAUUUAAUAGCUUUGAUUCCCAGUCUCAGAAAUAACUUUGUGCCUGUGUUUCAUAGGAGUGGACUUAUUAGUACUUUCCUGAUGAGAUUGAUUGAAUUCUUUACCUGAAUUAGAAAACAAAGGAAAGUUAAAGUACAAUAUUCCCCAAAUAGUUCCAAUAUUUCUACCUUUGCGUUCUGUCUUUUGUCUUAACAAAUUUGAUUAAAUUUAAAAUUAAAAUUUAAUGAUGGUAAUGCACUGAAUACAUCAAUAUAUUUUGAUGACAUUACCGCAGCGCAGUGUUGAAUUUUGUAUUCUAUCUGGGUCAGCUAUGUAAAUCGACAACAUUAAUGAGCUUUUAUUAAAUCAUCUUAGUAAAAGCUCCACUGUCUUAACUGUUUACUUAAUUCUACAGCCAACAAAAAACAGCUGUCACCUUCUGACAGAUCUUAUUCAGAAUGAGAGUCUUCUUCUUACAGGGGGGAAAAAUUUGAUGUAAGCUGUAAUCCAACAGUGAUGUCAUAUUUAGAGUCCACAAAAUGGAUGCUGUUAUAAAAUUCAGGCCUUAUAGAUCCCACCUUGCUGUUAGAGAAACAGGAAUGAGGGGAAGAAGUUCAAGGGGAAUGCUGUGCUUCUGUCAUUUGUUUUAUAUACAGAGUGUUACUCUGCAGAGAGCACGGAAUUACUUAUAGACAUCUGCACUGACUUGGGGGAUCCAACCCCUGAGAAAAUUUUGAGCCAGACUGACAUAGCUAGGCAGCAACCCACUUCCUGCUCCUGAACAAGAAAUGUUCCCUAGGUAAGUUGAUAUAUCACUUAAUGGCUACAUAAUUAAUACAUUUUUCAACAUUGUUAAGAUAGCAUAGGUUUUUUUCCACCCCUAAACAGUAAGUUUAAACAGCAUAUUCAAAUAAAGUCUGGCACACACACACACACACACACACAAAAUAAACUCCUGUAUUCAAGAAACAAGACCAGGAGUUCCUCGU
RNAcentral lists this long non-coding RNA (3026 nucleotides) under Marmota monax (woodchuck). Lineage: Eukaryota; Metazoa; Chordata; Mammalia; Rodentia; Sciuridae. The record is from RNAcentral.